AUUGAACGCUGGCGGCAGGCCUAACACAUGCAAGUCGAGCGGAUGAAGGGAGCUUGCUCCUGGAUUCAGCGGCGGACGGGUGUGUAAUGCCUAGGAAUCUGCCUGGUUUUGGGGUAUAACGUCCUGAAACGGGCGCUAAUACCGCAUACGUCCUGAGGCAGAAAGUGGGGGAUCUUCGGACCUCACGCUAUCUUAUGAGCCUAGGUCGGAUUAGCUAGUUGGUGGGGUAAAGGCCUACCAAGGCGACGAUCCGUAACUGGUCUGAGAGGAUGAUCAGUCACACUGGAACUGAGACACGGUCCAGACUACUACGGGAGGCAGCAGUGGGGAAUAUUGGACAAUGGGCGAAAGCAUGAUACAGCCAUGCCGAGUGUGUGAAGAAGGUCUUCGGAUUGUAAAGCACUUUAAGUUGGGAGGAAGGGCAGUAAGUUAAUACCUUGCUGUUUUGACGUUAACAACAGAAUAAGCACCGGCUAACUUCGUG
RNAcentral lists this ribosomal RNA (484 nucleotides) under uncultured bacterium. RNAcentral's name for it is "partial 16S ribosomal RNA". It matches the Rfam family "Bacterial small subunit ribosomal RNA", at positions 30 to 507 of the family's 1533-position model. The record is from RNAcentral.